AGUAAUACAUCGGAACGUGUCUUCUAGUGGGGGAUAACUGCCCGAAAGGGCAGCUAAUGCCGCAUGAGACCUGAGGGUGAAAGCGGGGAAUCGCAAGACCUCGCGCUGGAAGAGCGGCCGAUGUCCGAUUAGCUAGUUGGUGAGGUAAAGGCUCACCAAGGCGACGAUCGGUAGCUGGUCUGAGAGGACGACCAGCCACACUGGGACUGAGACACGGCCCAG
Molecule: ribosomal RNA, 222 nt
Filed under: uncultured bacterium
Lineage: Bacteria
Description: partial 16S ribosomal RNA
Rfam family: Bacterial small subunit ribosomal RNA
Source: RNAcentral